This 468-nucleotide ribosomal RNA is filed under the name uncultured bacterium. Its description in RNAcentral is "partial 16S ribosomal RNA". It matches the Rfam family "Bacterial small subunit ribosomal RNA", at positions 28 to 507 of the family's 1533-position model. The record is from RNAcentral.
GACGAACGCUGGCGGCGUGCUUAACACAUGCAAGUCGAACGGAAAGGCCCUGCUUUUGUGGGGUGCUCGAGUGGCGAACGGGUGAGUAACACGCGAGUAACCUGCCCUUGACUUUGGGAUAACUUCAGGAAACUGGGGCUAAUACCGGAUAGGAGCUCCUGCUGCAUGGUGGGGGUUGGAAAGUUUCGGCGGUUGGGGAUGGACUCGCGGCUUAUCAGCUUGUUGGUGGGGUAGUGGCUUACCAAGGCUUUGACGGGUAGCCGGCCUGAGAGGGUGACCGGCCACAUUGGGACUGAGAUACGGCCCAGACUCCUACGGGAGGCAGCAGCGGGGAAUAUUGCACAAUGGGCGGAAGCCUGAUGCAGCAACGCCGCGUGCGGGAUGACGGCCUUCGGGUUGUAAACCGCUUUCGCCUGUGACGAAGCGUGAGUGACGGUAAUGGGUAAAGAAGCACCGGCUAACUACGUG